AUGCAGUACAAUGCCUGGGGCGUUCGUGACAUUGAUGGCUAUGGCUGCUUCGUGUUCGAGAAAGAUCCUAGCUCCAAGUGCUACCAUAUAACUGAAAUUAACCGAUGCAAGUUGAAGAAGGAUUGGCCGGUGCUGCCGGCUGGCAUCAAGUUUGAUCCCAUGGAUCAGGAGCUGAUUGAGCACCUUGAGGCCAAAGUGAGUGCUGGCAGCACGAGAUCUCACCCUGUCAUCGAUUUGUUCAUACCAACCAUCGACAGCGAGCACGGCAUAUGCUACACCCAUCCUGAGAAACUUCCAGGUAUCACACCGAGUGGCCUAAGCAAGCAUUUCUUCCAGCGCAAUUCCAGGGCGUUCAAAAGGGGUACGUGGAUGCGAUGCAAGAUACAGUCAGAGUGUGGCAUGCACGCGAUGUGGCACAACACCGGCAAUACCUUACCGGUGAUGGUCAAUGGCCGGCAUACGGGUAGCAAAAAGGUUCUGGUGCUGCACACCAACAAGAACUUCGACCAGCAGAGGACCAACUGGGUGAUGCACCAAUACCACCUCGGGGACCUGGAGCAAGAGAAGGAGCGGGAGCUGGUCCUCUGCAAGAUUUUCUACCAAACGAACACUAGGGCCAGGAGUAAAAAGAUUAUAAAUUAG
RNAcentral lists this ribosomal RNA (642 nucleotides) under Triticum aestivum (bread wheat). RNAcentral's name for it is "partial small subunit ribosomal RNA". Lineage: Eukaryota; Viridiplantae; Streptophyta; Magnoliopsida; Poales; Poaceae. The record is from RNAcentral.